RNAcentral lists this ribosomal RNA (513 nucleotides) under uncultured bacterium. Its description in RNAcentral is "partial 16S ribosomal RNA". It matches the Rfam family "Bacterial small subunit ribosomal RNA", at positions 355 to 860 of the family's 1533-position model. The record is from RNAcentral.
UAGGGAAUCUUCCACAAUGGACGCAAGUCUGAUGGAGCAACGCCGCGUGAGUGAAGAAGGUUUUCGGACCGUAAAGCUCUGUUGUUGGUGAAGAAGGAUAGAGGUAGUAACUGGCCUUUAUUUGACGGUAAUCAACCAGAAAGUCACGGCUAACUACGUGCCAGCAGCCGCGGUAAUCGUAGGUGGCAAGCGUUGUCCGGAUUUAUUGGGCGUAAAGCGAGCGCAGGCGGAAGAAUAAGUCUGAUGUGAAAGCCCUCGGCUUAACCGAGGAAUUGCAUCGGAAACUGUUUUCUUGAGUGCAGAAGAGGAGAGUAGAACUCCAUGUGUAGCGGUGGAAUGCGUAGAUAUAUGGAAGAAUACCAGUGGCGAAGGCGGCUCUCUGGUCUGCAACUGACGCUGAGGCUCGAAAGCAUGGGUAGCGAACAGGAUUAGAUACCCUGGUAGUCCAUGCCGUAAACGAUGAGUGCUAAGUGUUGGGGAGGCUUCCGCCUCUCAGUGCUGCAGUUAACGCAU